Molecule: non-coding RNA, 65 nt
Organism: Dipodomys ordii (Ord's kangaroo rat)
Lineage: Eukaryota; Metazoa; Chordata; Mammalia; Rodentia; Heteromyidae
Source: Rfam
GGUGGUUCAGUGGUAGAGCUCUUGCCUUGCAUGCAUGAGGCCCUGGGUUCGAUUCCUCAGCACCA